RNAcentral lists this long non-coding RNA (511 nucleotides) under Hordeum vulgare. Its description in RNAcentral is "long non-coding RNA (HVUL_LNC006933)". Lineage: Eukaryota; Viridiplantae; Streptophyta; Magnoliopsida; Poales; Poaceae. The record is from RNAcentral.
UGUAGUAAUGUAAUAUGCUUAGUAAUGUCAUAUAUUGAUUAUAGUGUAGUAGUGUGAUGAUAUGCUUAGUGUGGAAUUUGAUGAAUAUGCUUAGUAUAUUAAUGUGAUGAUAUGCUUAUAUAUAGUAAUUAAUGACAUAUAUUGAAUAUAGUGUAAUAAUGUGAUGAUAUGAUCAUCAUGUUUUUUUCAGAAAUUACCUAAGAGGCUAUGUGUGAGUUGUGGCAUCGAGUCGAAUGAAGAAGGCAUUGCUGGACUACGCCUUACCACAAGGGGCUCGAUCACCAUGUGUGCUUACGCAGUGGACAUGGACGGGCGCACUAUCUUCGGUGCGGAUGGGUGGAGCGACUUCCUCGCUGGCAAGAAUCUCCGAGUUGGACAGGUCGUCUUAGUCACUAUGAGGAACACCCCACGCCAUGACUUGAGGAUGACGAUUGUUUUGGACAUCCUUUAACUAUGUUAGUUUGCUCAUGCGAAAUGAACUCAUUAACUAUGUUAUACUAUUUUGCUCGUG